RNAcentral lists this ribosomal RNA (434 nucleotides) under uncultured bacterium. Its description in RNAcentral is "partial 16S ribosomal RNA". It matches the Rfam family "Bacterial small subunit ribosomal RNA", at positions 29 to 507 of the family's 1533-position model. The record is from RNAcentral.
AGCGAACGCUGGCGGCAGGCCUAACACAUGCGAGUCGAACGAACCUUUCGGGGUUAGUGGCGGACGGGUGAGUAACACGUGGGAACGUGCCUUUAGGUUCGGAAUAACUCAGGGAAACUUGUGCUAAUUCCGAAUGUGCCCUUCGGGGGAAAGAUUUAUCGCCUUUAGAGCGGCCCGCGUCUGAUUAGCUAGUUGGUUGAGGUAAUGGCUCACCAAGGCGACGAUCAGUAGCUGGUCUGAGAGGAUGAUCAGCCACAUUGGGACUGAGACACGGCCCAAACUCCUACGGGAGGCAGCAGUGGGGAAUCUUGCGCAAUGGGCGAAAGCCUGACGCAGCCAUGCCGCGUGAAUGAUGAAGGUCUUAGGAUUGUAAAAUUCUUUCACCGGGGACGAUAAUGACGGUACCCGGAGAAGAAGCCCCGGCUAACUUCGUG